Molecule: ribosomal RNA, 260 nt
Filed under: uncultured archaeon
Lineage: Archaea
Description: partial 16S ribosomal RNA
Rfam family: Archaeal small subunit ribosomal RNA
Source: RNAcentral
CAGCCGUAAACUAUGCUCGCUAGGUGUCAGGCAUGGCGCGACCGUGUCUGGUGCCGCAGGGAAGCCGUGAAGCGAGCCACCUGGGAAGUACGGCCGCAAGGCUGAAACUUAAAGGAAUUGGCGGGGGAGCACAACAACGGGUGGAGCCUGCGGUUUAAUUGGACUCAACGCCGGACAACUCACCGGGGACGACAGCAAUAUGUAGGCCAGGCUGAAGACCUUGCCUGAAUCGCUGAGAGGUGUGCAUGGCGUAGACGUCU